CCCUUAGACGUUCUGGGCCGCACGCGCGCUACACUGACCAGUGCAACAAGCAUCCGUCCUUGGCCGACAGGCUCGGGCAAUCUUUGAACGCUGGUCGUGAUGGGGAUAGACUUUUGCAAUUUUUGGUCUUCAACGAGGAAUUCCUAGUAAACGCAAGUCAUCAACUUGCAUUGAUUACGUCCCUGCCCUUUGUACACACCGCCCGUCGCUCCUACCGAUUGAAUGGUCCGGUGAAGCGUUCGGACCGUGGCCUUUGGACGGUUCGCCGUCUGUUGGCUGCGGGAAGUUCGUUAAACCUUAUCAUUUAGAGGAAGGAGAAGUCGUAACA
RNAcentral lists this ribosomal RNA (328 nucleotides) under uncultured eukaryote. RNAcentral describes it as "partial 18S ribosomal RNA". It matches the Rfam family "Eukaryotic small subunit ribosomal RNA", at positions 1470 to 1796 of the family's 1831-position model. The record is from RNAcentral.